RNAcentral lists this ribosomal RNA (233 nucleotides) under uncultured bacterium. RNAcentral's name for it is "partial 16S ribosomal RNA". It matches the Rfam family "Bacterial small subunit ribosomal RNA", at positions 96 to 334 of the family's 1533-position model. The record is from RNAcentral.
CGGCGAACGGGUGAGUAACGCGUGGAUUAUCUGCCCUGAGGUGGGGGAUAACCCGGGGAAACUCGGGCUAAUACCGCAUAUGACCGUGAGGUCAAAGGGGGUCGCAAGAUCUCUCGCCAUAGGAGGAGUCCGCGUCCGAUUAGCUAGUUGGUAGGGUAAUGGCCUACCAAGGCGACGAUCGGUAGCCGGCCUGAGAGGGUGAUCGGCCACACUGGAACUGAGACACGGUCCAG